RNAcentral lists this ribosomal RNA (504 nucleotides) under uncultured bacterium. RNAcentral describes it as "partial 16S ribosomal RNA". It matches the Rfam family "Bacterial small subunit ribosomal RNA", at positions 29 to 523 of the family's 1533-position model. The record is from RNAcentral.
AGUGAACGCUGGCGGCAGGCCUAACACAUGCAAGUCGAGCGGUAGCACAGGGAGCUUGCUCCUGGGUGACGAGCGGCGGACGGGUGAGUAAUGUCUGGGAAACUGCCUGAUGGAGGGGGAUAACUACUGGAAACGGUAGCUAAUACCGCAUAACGUCGCAAGACCAAAGAGGGGGACCUUCGGGCCUCUUGCCACCAGAUGUGCCCAGAUGGGAUUAGCUAGUAGGUGGGGUAACGGCUCACCUAGGCGACGAUCCCUAGCUGGUCUGAGAGGAUGACCAGCCACACUGGAAGUGAGACACGGUCCAGACUCCUACGGGAGGCAGCAGUGGGGAAUAUUGCACAAUGGGCGCAAGCCUGAUGCAGCCAUGCCGCGUGUAUGAAGAAGGCCUUCGGGUUGUAAAGUACUUUCAGCGGGGAGGAAGGUGUUGAGGUUAAUAACCUCAGCAAUUGACGUUACCCGCAGAAGAAGCACCGGCUAACUCCGUGCCAGCCGCCGCCGUAA